RNAcentral lists this ribosomal RNA (484 nucleotides) under uncultured bacterium. RNAcentral's name for it is "partial 16S ribosomal RNA". It matches the Rfam family "Bacterial small subunit ribosomal RNA", at positions 30 to 507 of the family's 1533-position model. The record is from RNAcentral.
AUUGAACGCUGGCGGCAGGCCUAACACAUGCAAGUCGAGCGGAUGAAGGGAGCUUGCUCCUGGAUUCAGCGGCGGACGGGUGAGUAAUGCCUAGGAAUCUGCCUGGUAGUGGGGGAUAACGUCCGGAAACGGGCGCUAAUACCGCAUACGUCCUGAGGGAGAAAGUGGGGGAUCUUCGGACCUCACGCUAUCAGAUGAGCCUAGGUCGGAUUAGCUAGUUGGUGGGGUAAAGGCCUACCAAGGCGACGAUCCGUAACUGGUCUGAGCGGAUGAUCAGUCACACUGGAACUGAGACACGGUCCAGACUCCUACGGGAGGCAGCAGUGGGGAAUAUUGGACAAUGGGCGAAAGCCUGAUCCAGCCAUGCCGCGUGUGUGAAGAGGGUCUUCGGAUUGUAAAGCACUUUAAGUUGGGAGGAAGGGCAGUAAGUUAAUACCUUGCUGUUUUGACGUUACCAACAGAAUAAGCACCGGCUAACUUCGUG